GUUCCUACGGGACGCAGCAGUGGGGAAUAUUGCGCAAUGGGCGAAAGCCUGACGCAGCGACGCCGCGUGAGGGAUGAAGGUCUUCGGAUCGUAAACCUCUGUCAGCAGGGAAGAACGGUCACUGUGCUAAUCAGCAGUGAAUUGACGGUACCUGCAAAGGAAGCACCGGCUAACUCCGUGCCAGCAGCCGCGGUAAUACGGAGGAUGCGAGCGUUAUCCGGAUUUAUUGGGUUUAAAGGGUGCGUAGGCGGGAUGCCAAGUCAGCGGUAAAAAUGCGGUGCUCAACGCCGUCGAGCCGUUGAAAC
RNAcentral lists this ribosomal RNA (305 nucleotides) under uncultured bacterium. RNAcentral's name for it is "bacterial SSU rRNA". It matches the Rfam family "Bacterial small subunit ribosomal RNA", at positions 335 to 633 of the family's 1533-position model. The record is from RNAcentral.